UACGUAGGGACCAAGCGUUGUUCGGAUUUACUGGGCGUAAAGGGCGCGUAGGCGGCGCGGUAAGUCACUUGUGAAAUCUCUGAGCUUAACUCAGAACGGCCAAGUGAUACUGCUGUGCUAGAGUGCAGAAGGGGCAAUCGGAAUUCUUGGUGUAGCGGUGAAAUGCGUAGAUAUCAAGAGGAACACCUGAGGUGAAGGCGGGUUGCUGGGCUGACACUGACGCUGAGGCGCGAAAGCCAGGGGAGCAAACGGG
RNAcentral lists this ribosomal RNA (253 nucleotides) under uncultured bacterium. RNAcentral's name for it is "partial 16S ribosomal RNA". It matches the Rfam family "Bacterial small subunit ribosomal RNA", at positions 524 to 776 of the family's 1533-position model. The record is from RNAcentral.